This 1804-nucleotide long non-coding RNA is filed under the name Pelobates cultripes (western spadefoot toad). The record is from RNAcentral. Lineage: Eukaryota; Metazoa; Chordata; Amphibia; Anura; Pelobatidae.
CAGCUACCUUGUGUUGCGUGUUAUCAGUCCGGUUAUGUCUGUGUUGUGUCGGAUGUGUGUAAGGAAUGGUUCCAGGGCAAGGUCGAACAGGAGUGGGGAGAGAGGGCAACCUUGUCUCGUGCCGUUAUGUAUUGUGAAGGCGUCAGUUAACGCCCCGUUGACCAGCACCUGGGCCGUAGGUUCUCGGUACAAUGCCUCUAUCCAGCGUCGCAUGUGUGGCCCCAGUCCUACAUGGGCAAGUGUUUCGAAAAGAUAUGUCCAGCCGACCCUAUCGAAGGCCUUCUCUGCGUCUGUUGACAGCAGGAGAAGGCCCCCUUUCGUACCCUCUUUCCCAUGCAUGAGGGUAAGUGCCCUGAUGGUGUUGUCCCGAGCCUCUCGGCCUGUCACGAAUCCCACCUGGUCUGGGUGGAUCAGUGAUGGGAUGUGUUGUGUGAGUCGAGUCGCCAGAAUUUUGGCCAAUAGUUUAAUGUCGCUAUUUAUAAGUGAGAUCGGUCUGUAGUUUCCGCAUUGUUCCCUGUCUUUGCCUUCUUUGGGGAUAAUAGUGAUGUGGGCUGUUAGGGCUUGUCUGGGGAAAUGGUUUCCGUCUCUUAUCGAAUUGAACGCUUCUAUCAUGAGUGGGUAUAAGUCUUCAGCGUAUGUCUUAUAAUAUUUAGUCGGUAAGCCGUCUGGUCCCGGGCUUUUGCCCGGUUUGGUUUGUUUAACCGCUAGAGCUAGUUCCUCUAUUGUGAUGGGUUCGUCUAUUACCUCUGCUAUCUCCGCGUCGAGUGUCGGUGUCUGGUAUUUUGUCAAGUAGGCUCGGAUAGAGUCUCUGAGGCGUGUCGUCGCCCCGUUGGUCUUCGGUUGGGGGAGCGUGUAGAGAUCAGUGUAGUAUGUGCGGAACGUUCUCAUGAUGGCUGUCGGGAGGCGGUGUAGGGUGCUCUGUUUGUCUCUAAUUUUAUCAAAGUAUGUGUGUUGCCUCUGCUUUUUCAGCAUCGCGGCUAGGAGUUUGCCGCUUUUGUUCCCGUGUACUGUGAAGAAGGCUUUGUGCCUAGUUGCGUCCCUGUGAUGUUUAGCCUGCAAUAGUGUGGCUAGUUCCCGUCUCAGUUGUAGGAGUCGGGUUUGGUGUGUGUGGUUCGGGGUUUGUUUAUUUUGAUUGUCUGUCUCAUGUAUGUUGGUCAGCAGUGCCUGUAGCCGAGCUUCAGCCUGUUUCUUCAGUAUUGCCCCCUGUUGUAUGUAGUGGCCUCUUAUCACGCUUUUGUGUGCUUCCCAUCGAAUCGUCGGGGAUGUUUGCUCUGCUGUGUUAGUUGUCAGGUAGUCCUUGAUUUUUUCACCUAUUAGGGUUGUGACCUCUAGUUUGGUGAGUAGGUAUUCGUUCAAUCUCCAUUUCGAGGUCGUGGGGCGGUAAAGUGGUGAUUUAAGUUUAAGUAAGACUGGGGCGUGGUCUGACCAUGUGGCCACUCCGAUUGUUACUUCGGACACUAGGGAGAGGUCGUAGUGUGUGGUGUAAAUGUGGUCUAUUCGGGAAUAAGAGUUGUGCGGGUGGGAAUAGAAGGUAUAGUUUCUUACGUCUGGGUGGUGGGCUCUCCAGCAGUCCACGAGUCGUCGACUCCGAAGUAGGGAUUUAAUUGUUUGGAGUUGUUGUGUGGGGAUGUGGGAGGUGCCCGAUGAGUUGUCCCAUGAUGGGUCGAGAGUUAUGUUGAAGUCGCCCCCCAGUAUGAGAGUCCCUUCUGCGAAUUCUUGGAGUUUGCGAAGUGUCUGUUUGAGGAAGCGGUAGUGUUGUGUGUUUGGGGCGUAAAUGUUUGCGAAUGUGUACUGGUGUCCUGCG